Long non-coding RNA from Amphiprion ocellaris (clown anemonefish), 788 nucleotides. RefSeq lists it as uncharacterized. The record is from RefSeq and is a predicted model, not a curated record. NCBI's taxonomy places the organism in Eukaryota, Metazoa, Chordata, Actinopteri, Pomacentridae. The transcript is spliced from 2 exons.
GCUAAUGCUUCUUUUGUCCAUAGCAUUCCUAUGGAGCUGCCAAGCCGAAAAUAACACGAAAACUAACUGUCAUUUCGACUAAGCAAAAGAAAAACGAAAGCGACAAAUUUCAUCUUCUCGCGAGAUUACAUCACAACGUAGUGGGGUUGGGUUAUGUGUUGUCGUGGCCGUACCUGCCAGUAAAUGGACUGCCUAAUGGUCCUAACGCCUUACAAAAAUUCCGAACAAGUCCGAACGGAGGUUCGAACAUAUUCCUAACAAGAUCAAAGAGUUUCUAGCGAGGUCCGAACAUGAGUCCAAACCAGGUCCGAACAGAUCCAAACCAAACCAUGGACUGAACGGGUCACGUGACGUAAGGGGGCGUGCGUAAAAAGUUUGGUUUUGCCGCCAUGUUUUUUCCACCGCUGUAGCACAACAUUAGAGAGAAGAUGACCAAGACAGGAAAGCCAGAUAGUUACUGGAGGGACAUCUGUUUCAGAGGAUGAGGAGCUAGUGUCAAGGGGGGAACCACCAAAGAACAGGCUGGCAAAGGAAAAGUACCAUUACACCUGCAAGCAGUGUGGCCAGGACAAAAGUAAAAGGACUGGACACACCCAGAUGAAGGGUCGAUGGUAUUGUCCAGCCUCAGGACUGACCCUGGAUGAAUGGAGGAAGACUUUACAGUAAAUGCUGUCACUGUGACUUGUUCUCCCAUUUUAUGUCUCUGUUUGUCUGUCUGUUGGACAGUUUGUGAGACAGUGUUCAUUGCACGCUGCAAUAAAGUUUUAAUAUAUUUGUUUGAGCCAAAA